UGGACGCAAGUCUGAUGGAGCAACGCCGCGUGAGUGAAGAAGGCUUUCGGGUCGUAAAACUCUGUUGUUGGAGAAGAAUGGUCGGCAGAGUAACUGUUGUCGGCGUGACGGUAUCCAACCAGAAAGCCACGGCUAACUACGUGCCAGCAGCCGCGGUAAUACGUAGGUGGCAAGCGUUAUCCGGAUUUAUUGGGCGUAAAGCGAGCGCAGGCGGUUUUUUAAGUCUGAUGUGAAAGCCCUCGGCUUAACCGAGGAAGUGCAUCGGAAACUGGGAAACUUGAGUGCAGAAGAGGACAGUGGAACUCCAUGUGUAGCGGUGAAAUGCGUAGAUAUAUGGAAGAAUACCAGUGGCGAAGGCGGCUGUCUGGUCUGUAACUGACGCUGAGGCUCGAAAGCAUGGGUAGCGAACAGGAUUAGAUACCCUGGUAGUCCAUGCCGUAAACGAUGAAUGCUAGGUGUUGGAGGGUUCCCGCCCUUCAGUGCCACAGCUAACGCAUUAAGCAUUCCGCCUGGGGAGUACGACCGCAAGGUUGAAACUCAAAGGAAUUGACGGGGGCCCGCACAAGCGGUGGAGCAUGUGGUUUAAUUCGAAGCAGCGCGAAGAACCUUACCAGGUCUUGACAUCUUUUGAUCACCUGAGAGAUCAGGUUUCCCCUUCGGG
RNAcentral lists this ribosomal RNA (661 nucleotides) under Lacticaseibacillus rhamnosus. RNAcentral describes it as "bacterial SSU rRNA". It matches the Rfam family "Bacterial small subunit ribosomal RNA", at positions 372 to 1024 of the family's 1533-position model. The record is from RNAcentral. Lineage: Bacteria; Bacillati; Bacillota; Bacilli; Lactobacillales; Lactobacillaceae.